RNAcentral lists this ribosomal RNA (500 nucleotides) under uncultured bacterium. RNAcentral describes it as "partial 16S ribosomal RNA". It matches the Rfam family "Bacterial small subunit ribosomal RNA", at positions 30 to 523 of the family's 1533-position model. The record is from RNAcentral.
AUUGAACGCUGGCGGAAUGCUUUACACAUGCAAGUCGAACGGCAGCACGGACUUCGGUCUGGUGGCGAGUGGCGAACGGGUGAGUAAUGUAUCGGAACGUGCCCAGUCGUGGGGGAUAACGUAGUGAAAAUUACGCUAAUACCGCAUACGAUCUAGGGAUGAAAGCGGGGGAUCGCAAGACCUCGCGCGAUUGGAGCGGCCGAUAUCAGAUUAGGUAGUUGGUGGGGUAAAGGCCCACCAAGCCAACGAUCUGUAGCUGGUCUGAGAGGACGACCAGCCACACUGGAACUGAGACACGGUCCAGACUCCUACGGGAGGCAGCAGGGGGGAAUUUUGGACAAUGGGCGAAAGCCUGAUCCAGCCAUUCCGCGUGCAGGAUGAAGGCCCUCGGGUUGUAAACUGCUUUUGUACAGAACGAAAAGGUUUCUACUAAUACUAGGAGCUCAUGACGGUACUGUAAGAAUAAGCACCGGCUAACUACGUGCCAGCAGCCGCAGUAA